AGGACAGAACUUUUAACAGACAUUCCAGUAGUUUCAGUGUCAGUCUGUACAGUGCAAAUAUUCAGAUUAACAGUUUGGAGAAGUGGUUUGUGUUCUGGUAAAUUUAAAAUACACCUGCCUAAAUAAAGGAACUUCUCUGUUGAUAUAAAUAAUACACAUUCCACAAAAUGCUCAAAUGAAAUAGCUGAAUAAGAGGCUUUAGAUACACACUGACUGUUGUAGGCUGAAGUGCACCUUUGUGGGCAAUACAACUGACCCGGUGACAAGGUGUAUGAAGUUUUUCUGAGGAACAAGUGUCAUCGAUCAGAAGCGAUUAAUGCAAGGAACAGUGUCUUAUCAGCUGCCGUGAGCAUCACACAACCCUCGCUCCCCGCGGAAGAGCAGCGGUACGAUCCGCCGCGCACAUUUACAGGCAAGAAAUUACUAUCAAAUCCCCAAAGCGCUCGGCAAACGAAGGGUGCGCGUUGCGCGGGCGAGGGAUCUGAUGUGGACUUAAACACAAAUGAAAGGAGGAUUCAUGCAACAGAUAGAACAGAUAUAUGCCUAACCCGACGCCGUAGAACAGAUAAACACGCUCGCAUUUAUUGUCGCUAUUGAAAUCAGCAAGCCGCUGUGGUUCAGAAGUCAAACGGAGGUCAUCCUUUAUAUCCCCCCGCAGCAAUCUGCGACCAGGGGCCAGUCAGCAGUGAACCCUGCCAUCUCCACUCCUGACAACUGCCACAAAGUUACAAGACUAUCGGGAAUGGGGUUUUCUUAAUGGUUCAUAAAUGGCAUUUUGGUGUUGCAAUAUUCCAUCUGGUUGGCCAGGAAAAGAAAGUUUCAG
Molecule: long non-coding RNA, 823 nt
Organism: Cyprinus carpio carpio
Lineage: Eukaryota; Metazoa; Chordata; Actinopteri; Cypriniformes; Cyprinidae
Source: Ensembl